CAGAGUGCAUGUGUUUGUUGCUUGAUACCCGAAGGUCUCCAAGCAAGUUAUAACUGUAUUAAAAAUAAAAAUAUCAUACUAUAAAAACGAAACAAUAAACCACCAACAAACGCCCCCCUACAGCUACGGGAAGCUUUGGCAGCGAAUCAAUAACAGUCAUCAUCUCAGUCUAUCAAAUGCCUGGGAGAAAAGGAAAAUGAAACUUGGUGUGUGGGGUCCUGUUUGCUACUUUACGAUUCCAUCCUGAACAGCAGCCUCAUUGGAAAACCCAGGAACAUGUUCAGUGCAAUCCUGUACACGUCUACUUUGAAACAAGUCCCACCAAGUUCAACGGGACUUACUGCCUGGUGUGAAUAGGACUGCGGCAUUAAUCUAUUGAGCAUUCAACUCUGCUUGGCUUGAGUAUGAGAACUAUGGACUCCAGUAGAUCAGCCCCAGGGUCCAUGACAGGCAUCCAGAGGAAGACCAGAUCGGUUGUUCUCAGGCCUGGGAAUGUGCUAGUUGUGGAGCCUGUGAAGUUAUUUUCAUGCAAGACAACAAUUGGGAUGUCCAAAGUGCAGCAGAGACAGCAAAGCUUCGACAAGCUUUGGAGACAGAUUCCAGACGUUGCCCCAAGUGGGAGUCCUGACCCACAGCGGUUUUUAAAGGGAGUCGGCCGGAAUUGGGACAGAUGCCGAGAAUAACACUGGCAAGUUUCAAAGUCUGGGGGAAGGGAAUGAGUCUUGUUUGCUCACAGCCUUCUAACGCCUCUCAGCAGCCUUGCUCUUGGCUUAAGUACGCAAGGGCAGAGCCUAUUAUUCUGGAUUAAUGCAUACAACCCUGCUUUAGCUCCUUCUCCUGGCAGAAGCUGCCCCCUACAGCAACAAUGUUUACGUAGCCGGUCUUCCAAAGAAAAAGCCCGUCUGCACAGCUCUUGCCUAUGAUGAAAAGCUGCUCUCAGUCAAAUGUUUAUUUUUCUGUGCGCCCCUUCCUUGUGGCAUCCUCAGCCAGAGAAUAGCUAUUUCUUGGACUCCAUUAGUGCCAGAUGUCUCCUUCCCUCCUGUCCUGUCUCAUGCGCAGUACAAGGCUCUUCUGUUAGCGCACCGUGGCAGGCUGGGGAGAGAUCAGCCAAAGAGAACACAAAUCUGCCCUUCACCUUCCAUCAGCCCCCACAGGUCACUGUUUAAUAUCCAUUUCCUUUCCAGGCCCAGGAAAUGUUUGUGUAACCCUCCUGUCUCCCCCCCCCAUCCCUUGCCAACCACAGAAAGUAGAAUGAAGCAAACAGGAGCUUUUCUUUCUAUUUUUUUUUUUUAAAACCUCACUGUGGAUCCAGCUAUCCAAUAUCACACUCUGGUCAAGAGAGGCAAGUGAGAAGAUCAUCCUUUUAACCUGAGGGGAGCUUGUGGCCAGCAUGGCCGAAGGCCCAUGGGAUGAUGGGAGUUGCACUCCAACAAAAUCUGGAAGGUCACAGGUCCCCACCUCUGUUUUAAAUGAAAAACACAUUGAAGCCUCAAGAAAUUGAACAGGUGAGAUACGUUGAGCAUACAAAGGAGGAAGAGAUUAUUAUAUUUUAGAACAGAAUGAUCAGAAACAAAAGAAGCAGCAAAAGCUGCAAAAACGGGGUCCCAGGAGCAGAAUCAAUGGCAGAUCAUCCUUCUGCCUCACAUGCACCUUGCAGGAAACAAGAAGGGUUUAAAAAGAGAAGUUUUAUCCAAGUGCUCAGUAUCCGGGCAUCCACCUUUGCCUGCAGGCUGGGCCGGACCUUGGAGGUUGUGCUUGCCAAGAAUAGUAAAGGGUUAAACCCCCUUGGGACUCAUGAAGAGCACCCUACAACUAGGGAUAGGGAGAAAAUUUGGUUCAGAUCACAUUGGAAGCUGAAUCUAUCAAAUCCACACUUUCCGAAAUAACAGGAGAACUGAAACACAGACACUCUUCUAAAUUUGCACGUAACGAAACUUUGCCAUGCAGUUCUUCAACCAAGCAAUGUUUACAAAAAUGUAUAUAUUAGGGGAAAGUGUGCAUAAAAAUGAAUACAUUAGUAAAAAUAUACAAAAACCCAUUAUAUUAGGAGAAAUUGCUGGCAAAAUGUGUAUAUUAGUCAAAGGUGCAUGUAAAAUGUGUUUAUUGGAAGAAAUUCACACCUAAAAUGUAAAGAAUUUUCAUGAAGAUUUAUUUUUAAAAAACCCUCAAAUUGCUGCAGAAAUGUGGGGAACUGAAUUUCAGACUAGAAAAAUGAAUCACUAAGCAAACCCAAAUUGAUAGAUCCUUCCUUCCAUAUCUGCAACAACUGUGGUGCCAAUGAGGGUGUCACAUCAAAACACAACGAAGCAUUGAGCAUUAAAAAUCUACUACAUGACUGCAUGCUUGCUAUCUCUGAUUGUAACCAUUAUUGUAAUGGUUGUACACCGCCCAGAGAGC
This is a long non-coding RNA of Rhineura floridana, 2397 nucleotides long. RefSeq lists it as uncharacterized. NCBI's taxonomy places the organism in Eukaryota, Metazoa, Chordata, Lepidosauria, Squamata, Rhineuridae. The transcript has 3 exons. The record is from RefSeq and is a predicted model, not a curated record.